CUCGUACAGGCCUACCGGCCUCUUGCAGACUCCUGCGUUCUUAUGUUCUUAUAUGAGGUGUUUUAACUAUCAUCUAUAUAUAUUUUCUACCGCAAUCUGGAAGUGUUGUUAUAUUUCUGCCAUACAAAACUGACACUGAAUUUUGGACCAUCUAUAUAGUUCCACCGCCAUCUUAGGGUUAAUUAUUACACAUAAUUUUUUCAUCUUCCUGAUAUCCGUACCUAUAGGAAUAGUUGAUGAGUGCAUAUGGGCAAAGAUAGCCUAGCAAUACAUGACAGAAGCUAUUUAUUUCAACGCUAUUUCAUUAUUACACAUCAGUUUUUCAUAAUUUUUUCAUGUUUUCGCUGCUAUGCAUACCUAUAGGAAUGGUCGAUGAGUGCAUAUGGGCAAAGAUAGCCUAGCAAUACAUGGCAGUUGGUAGCUAUUUGUUUCAACGCUAUUUCAUUAUUACACGUCAGUUUUUCAUAAUUUUUUUCAUGUUUUCCCUGCUAUGCGUACCUAUAGGAAUGGUCGAUGAGUGCAUAUGGGCAAAGACAGCCUAGCAAUACAUGGCAGUUGCUAUCUAUUUCAACACUAUUUCAUUAUUACACGUCAGUUUUUCUUUUCUCUUUUCAGUCCUCUUCCUGCUAUGCGUACUGAUAGGAGA
This is a long non-coding RNA of Eriocheir sinensis (Chinese mitten crab), 646 nucleotides long. RefSeq lists it as uncharacterized. Lineage: Eukaryota; Metazoa; Arthropoda; Malacostraca; Decapoda; Varunidae. The record is from RefSeq and is a predicted model, not a curated record. The transcript has 2 exons.